This 253-nucleotide ribosomal RNA is filed under the name uncultured bacterium. RNAcentral describes it as "partial 16S ribosomal RNA". It matches the Rfam family "Bacterial small subunit ribosomal RNA", at positions 524 to 776 of the family's 1533-position model. The record is from RNAcentral.
UACGAAGGGUGCAAACGUUGCUCGGAAUUAUUGGGCGUAAAGCGCACGUAGGCGGCUUUUCAAGUCGGAUGUGAAAUCCCUCGGCUUAACCAAGGAAGUGCAUCCGAAACUGGAAGGCUUGAGUACUUAAGAGGAUCGCGGAAUUCCCGGUGUAGAGGUGAAAUUCGUAGAGAUCGGGCGGAACACCAGCGGCGAAGGCGGCAUCCUGGCCCGUACCUGACGCUGAGGCGCGACAGCGUGGGGAGCAAACAGG